RNAcentral lists this ribosomal RNA (683 nucleotides) under Pelagodinium bei. RNAcentral's name for it is "eukaryotic LSU rRNA". It matches the Rfam family "Eukaryotic large subunit ribosomal RNA", at positions 121 to 813 of the family's 3401-position model. Lineage: Eukaryota; Dinophyceae; Suessiales; Suessiaceae. The record is from RNAcentral.
CUGGGGCCUUGGCCUUGGAUUGUAGCCUCUAGACAUAGUGCCAACGGAGGCGCAGGUGCAAGCCUCUUGGAAAAGAGCAUCAAUGUGGGUGAGAAUCCUGUGUUUCACUUGCAGUCCACCGUGCACGGCACAUGUUCUCAGAGUCGCGUUCCUCGGAAUUGGAGCGUAAAGUGGGUGGUAAAUUUCAUCUAAAGCUAAAUAUAGGCUUGAGACCGAUAGCAAACAAGUACCAUGAGGGAAAGAUGAAAAGGACUUUGAAAAGAGAGUUAAAAGUGCUUGAAAUCGCUGAAAGGGAAGCGAAUGGAACCAGUCUUCUGGCUGAGAUUGCUGCAUGCUACUGUGAUGCCUGGCUGCUUCAACGCAAGUGUUGUAGUUAGAGUUGAUCAGCUGCGUGUGGUGUUUCUCAGCUUGUUAGUCAACCUCUGUUUGCGCUUGGGGAUAGCCUCAGGUACACGUCGCUUCUCUGCGGAGUUGCUCCUGUGCUUGUAGGGACUCAGGUGCAUACUUUUGGUGACAAAAUGGUUCUCUUCGACCCGUCUUGAAACACGGACCAAGGAGUCUAGCACAUGUGCAAGUUCACAGGUGGCAAGCCUGCUUGCGCAAUGAAGGUGACUGCUGGGAUAUUUGCACCAGCAACCGACCAAUCAAUUGAGAGAAGUUUGAGUAUGAGCAUAUGUGUUAGG